AGGAUGAACGCUGGCGGCGUGCCUAACACAUGCAAGUCGAACGUCCUGUCUCGCAAGAGGCAGGGAGUGGCGGACGGGUGAGUACCACGUGGGUCAUCUACCGUGAGGUGAGGAAUACCGGCGAGAAAUCGCCGACAAGACCGCAUAGGCUCGAUGCAAGUCGAGCAAAGCUCUUUCGAAAGAGGGAGCGCCACACGAGGAGCCUGCGCCCGAUUAGCUAGCUGGUGGAGUAACGGUUCACCAGGGCGACGAUCGGUAGCUGGUCUGAGAGGACGAUCAGCCACACUGGGAUUGAGAACGGCCCAGACUCCUACGGGGGGCAGCAGUGAGGAAUUUUCGUCAAUGGGGGCAACCCUGAACGAGCAACGCCGCGUGCAGGAAGAAGGUUUUCGGAUCGUAAACUGCUUUUCGUCGGGGAAGAGGAACGGACGGUACCCGAGGAAUCGAGCCCCGGCUAACUACGUGCCAGCAGCCGC
RNAcentral lists this ribosomal RNA (476 nucleotides) under uncultured bacterium. RNAcentral describes it as "SSU rRNA". It matches the Rfam family "Bacterial small subunit ribosomal RNA", at positions 26 to 518 of the family's 1533-position model. The record is from RNAcentral.